Molecule: ribosomal RNA, 431 nt
Filed under: uncultured bacterium
Lineage: Bacteria
Description: bacterial SSU rRNA
Rfam family: Bacterial small subunit ribosomal RNA
Source: RNAcentral
AACGAACGCUGGCGGCAGGCCUAACACAUGCAAGUCGAGCGCCCCGCAAGGGGAGCGGCGGACGGGUGAGUAACGCGUGGGAACGUACCCUUUGCUACGGAAUAGCCUCGGGAAACUGGGAGUAAUACCGUAUGUGCCCUUCGGGGGAAAGAUUUAUCGGCAAAGGAUCGGCCCGCGUUGGAUUAGGUAGUUGGUGGGGUAAUGGCCCACCAAGCCGACGAUCCAUAGCUGGUUUGAGAGGAUGAUCAGCCACACUGGGACUGAGACACGGCCCAGACUCCUACGGGAGGCAGCAGUGGGGAAUCUUAGACAAUGGGCGCAAGCCUGAUCUAGCCAUGCCGCGUGAGCGAUGAAGGCCUUAGGGUUGUAAAGCUCUUUCAGUGGGGAAGAUAAUGACUGUACCCACAGAAGAAGCCCCGGCUAACUCCGUG